CAAGCUCUCACUAGGCAUACUAGAAACUUAAAGGCAGGUGUGUUGAGGAAAGUUGGAGCUAAACUCUGCAGGACACUGGCCCCCAGGACCGAGUUUGGGCACCCCUGGUCUAAUGUUUGGAUAAGAAUUCUCAUGCAGAUUUUACCAGGCUGUCGAAUAAAUAAAGUGGGUUAAAACUGAAGGAGGUGCACAUCGUCAAAGGGGAGGGUAAGUCGAGUUGCGGUUCCUCCACAGCGAGAGAGAGAGCGAGCGUGAAGCAAAUUCCCACGGAAGAGUUUCCCAAACUUCUUUCAGUCUCCGGCAAUAAUAUGGACAGACUUGAAUGGAAACAUGCAUAUCCGGCUCCACUUCAUUUAUGGCACAGAAGAUGACACGGUUGUUUCUGAAAUGACAGCUCGUUAGUUCUUUCCAUAAGUGAAAUCAACAUGGGAAAACUGCAAUCGAAACCUGCCUGUAAACGGAGAGAGAAUCCAGAGGGAGAUGUUUUCAAGGAGGCUGACUGUACUGGUGAAGUGAACAGAAACAAGCAGUGGAGCCUGGAGCCUUCAUCACUGUGUGAAAUACAUAUGGCCGGCAGCCAGAACAGCAGGGUCUUUGAGCGCAGCCCCACCACACAUCUGUUAUUGGUUUUGAAAACAGAGGGAGGCUGUGAUGGGAAAAGGGGGGGGGGGGGGGGGGGGGGGGAUUUUUGUGUUUGUGUAGGCCGUUUGUUUUUAACAUUUUAAAGACAUAUAGACCCACCUACUUGGAGUAGCUUGAUGAAGACCAUAUAUCACUAAAGAUGUAUAAAAGAAAAGAGCAGGGUUUAAAAUGCUUUAAAUGGUUUGAUAAAUUUUCCUUAAAGAAUGGCACAUUAGGGUGAUAAAGGCAAUAAACAAGUUGUGAUAUUGCAAAAAAUGUAACAUUAUUUGCUAGUAGUUUUUGAAGUUCAGUUGGUUGAGCAUGGUGCUAGCAACACAAUGAUCAUGGGUUUGAUCCCAGAGAACAAGCAUACUGGCAACCUGUUCAUAUUUGUUAGUAAUCACAGAUGAUGAAACUAUAGACAUCGGUCCGGGUAGUGUCAUGUUUAAUUUGACAAUUAAUGAAACCAAC
This 1092-nucleotide long non-coding RNA is filed under the name Sinocyclocheilus grahami. RNAcentral describes it as "lncRNA (ENSSGRG00000024835.1)". The record is from RNAcentral. Lineage: Eukaryota; Metazoa; Chordata; Actinopteri; Cypriniformes; Cyprinidae.